CGCCGCGGUUAUACGAAAGACUCGAACUGACAGAAAUCGGCGUAAAGAGUGAUUAAGGAAGACACAGCCCAGAGCCAAAUAGCCACUAAGCCGUCGCACGCACAAGCAAGCUAGAAGAACUUUACUAAAGUAGCCCUGCCACCCCUGAACUCACGAUAGCUAGGAAA
This 167-nucleotide ribosomal RNA is filed under the name Bombina orientalis. Its description in RNAcentral is "partial 12S rRNA". Lineage: Eukaryota; Metazoa; Chordata; Amphibia; Anura; Bombinatoridae. The record is from RNAcentral.